GGGUCGUUGGCUGAGCGGCGAAAGCAUCCGGCUGUAAACCGGACACAGGGUAGCCAGUCCCACACCGCAGGUUCGAGUCCUGCACGGCCCA
RNAcentral lists this transfer RNA (91 nucleotides) under Rothia mucilaginosa. RNAcentral's name for it is "tRNA-Tyr". It matches the Rfam family "tRNA". From Rfam's summary of the family: Transfer RNA (tRNA) molecules are approximately 80 nucleotides in length. Their secondary structure includes four short double-helical elements and three loops (D, anti-codon, and T loops). Further hydrogen bonds mediate the characteristic L-shaped molecular structure. tRNAs have two regions of fundamental functional importance: the anti-codon, which is responsible for specific mRNA codon recognition, and the 3' end, to which the tRNAs corresponding amino acid is attached (by aminoacyl-tRNA synthetases). tRNAs cope with the degeneracy of the genetic code in two manners: having more than one tRNA (with a specific anti-codon) for a particular amino acid; and 'wobble' base-pairing, i.e. permitting non-standard base-pairing at the 3rd anti-codon position. RNAcentral also lists the same sequence under 1 other name. The record is from RNAcentral. Lineage: Bacteria; Bacillati; Actinomycetota; Actinomycetes; Micrococcales; Micrococcaceae.